This 292-nucleotide ribosomal RNA is filed under the name uncultured bacterium. Its description in RNAcentral is "partial 16S ribosomal RNA". It matches the Rfam family "Bacterial small subunit ribosomal RNA", at positions 505 to 796 of the family's 1533-position model. The record is from RNAcentral.
GUGCCAGCCGCCGCGGUAAUACGGAGGGUCCAAGCGUUAUCCGGAUUUAUUGGGUUUAAAGGGUACGUAGGCGGAAUUUUAAGUCAGUAGUGAAAGCCCAUUGCUUAACAAUGGAACUGCUAUUGAAACUGAAAUUCUUGAAUAUAGUUGAAGUAGGCGGAAUACGGCAUGUAGCGGUGAAAUGCAUAGAUAUGCCGUGGAACACCGAUCGCGAAGGCAGCUUACUAAGCUAUUAUUGACGCUAAGGUACGAAAGCGUGGGGAGCGAACAGGAUUAGAAACCCUGGUAGUCC